Molecule: small nuclear RNA, 100 nt
Filed under: Moschus moschiferus (Siberian musk deer)
Lineage: Eukaryota; Metazoa; Chordata; Mammalia; Artiodactyla; Moschidae
Source: RNAcentral
UUGUUUCAGCAGCACAUGUACGAAAAUUGGAACAAAACAGAGAUUAGCAUGGUCCCUGCACAAGGAUGACAGGCAAAUUCGUGAAGCAUUCCAUAUUUUU